AGUGAACGCUGGCGGUAGGCCUAACACAUGCAAGUCGAACGGCAGCACCGUAAGAGCUUGCUCUUACGGGUGGCGAGUGGCGGACGGGUGAGGCAUACAUCGGAAUCUACUUUUUCGUGGGGGAUAACGUAGGGAAACUUACGCUACUACCGCAUACGACCUACGGGUGAAAGCAGGGGAUCUUCGGACCUUGCGCGAUUGAAUGAGCCGAUGUCGGAUUAGCUAGUUGGCGGGGUAAAGGCCCACCAAGGCGACGAUCCGUAGCUGGUCUGAGAGGAUGAUCAGCCACACUGGAACUGAGACACGGUCCAGACUCCUACGGGAGGCAGCAGUGGGGAAUAUUGGACAAUGGGCGCAAGCCUGAUCCAGCAAUGCCGCGUGGGUGAAGAAGGCCUUCGGGUUGUAAAGCCCUUUUGUUGGGAAAGAAAAGCAGCAGGUUAAUACCCCGCUGUUCUGACGGUACCCAAAGAAUAAGCACCGGCUAACUUCGUG
RNAcentral lists this ribosomal RNA (492 nucleotides) under uncultured bacterium. Its description in RNAcentral is "partial 16S ribosomal RNA". It matches the Rfam family "Bacterial small subunit ribosomal RNA", at positions 29 to 507 of the family's 1533-position model. The record is from RNAcentral.